Molecule: ribosomal RNA, 465 nt
Filed under: uncultured Klebsiella sp.
Lineage: Bacteria; Pseudomonadati; Pseudomonadota; Gammaproteobacteria; Enterobacterales; Enterobacteriaceae
Description: bacterial SSU rRNA
Rfam family: Bacterial small subunit ribosomal RNA
Source: RNAcentral
CCUACGGGAGGCUGCAGUGGGGAAUAUUGCACAAUGGGCGCAAGCCUGAUGCAGCCAUGCCGCGUGUGUGAAGAAGGCCUUCGGGUUGUAAAGCACUUUCAGCGGGGAGGAAGGCGGUGAGGUUAAUAACCUCAUCGAUUGACGUUACCCGCAGAAGAAGCACCGGCUAACUCCGUGCCAGCAGCCGCGGUAAUACGGAGGGUGCAAGCGUUAAUCGGAAUUACUGGGCGUAAAGCGCACGCAGGCGGUCUGUCAAGUCGGAUGUGAAAUCCCCGGGCUCAACCUGGGAACUGCAUUCGAAACUGGCAGGCUAGAGUAUUGUAGAGGGGGGUAGAAGUCCAGGUGUAGCGGUGAAAUGCGUAGAGAUCUGGAGGAAUACCGGUGGCGAAGGCGGCCCCCUGGACAAAGACUGACGCUCAGGUGCGAAAGCGUGGGGAGCAAACAGGAUUAGAUACCCUUGUAGUC